CACAGAAACGAUUCUGGUGUCUAUGGUCUGCAGUUCUAUGUUCAGUCUUCAGUAAAGGGUCCUGGACAUAUUGAUUCAAGGGUCGAGUCACUACUCAAGGAUCUUGAGCGUAAACUUUACAUGAUGAGCGAUGAGGAAUUUAAGAGCAACGUAACAGCUUUGAUAGACAUGAAGCUUGAAAAAGCCAAGAACUUGAA
Non-coding RNA from Camelina sativa (false flax), 197 nucleotides. The record is from RefSeq and is a predicted model, not a curated record. NCBI's taxonomy places the organism in Eukaryota, Viridiplantae, Streptophyta, Magnoliopsida, Brassicales, Brassicaceae.